AUUGAACGCUGGCGGAAUGCUUUACACAUGCAAGUCGAACGGUAGAGGGGGCAACCCCUCGAGAGUGGCGAACGGGUGAGUAAUAUAUCGGAACGUGCCCAGUCGUGGGGGAUAACGUAGCGAAAGUUACGCUAAUACCGCAUACGAUCUAAGGAUGAAAGCGGGGGAUCGCAAGACCUCGCGCGAUUGGAGCGGCCGAUAUCAGAUUAGGUAGUUGGUGGGGUAAAGGCUCACCAAGCCAACGAUCUGUAGCUGGUCUGAGAGGACGACCAGCACAACUGUAACUGAGACACGGUCCAGGCUCCUACGGGAGGCAGCAGUGGGGAAUGUUGGACAAUGGACGCAAGUCUGAUCCAGCCAUUCCGCGUGCAGGAUGAAGGCCCUCGGGUUGUAAACUGCUUUUGUACGGAACGAAAAGGUCUCUCUUAAUACGGGGGGCUCAUGACGGUACCGUAAGAAUAAGCACCGGCUAACUACGUGCCAGCCGCCGCGGUAA
This 496-nucleotide ribosomal RNA is filed under the name uncultured bacterium. RNAcentral's name for it is "partial 16S ribosomal RNA". It matches the Rfam family "Bacterial small subunit ribosomal RNA", at positions 30 to 523 of the family's 1533-position model. The record is from RNAcentral.